UGGGGCUAGGGUAAGGUUUUAGGUUUUUGGCGUUAGGGUUAAAAUCAAUGUCCAAAACCUUUGGAGGAACUCUUUUCCAAGCUUUUGGAGUUAGUUAGACCAAAAAAAAAGAAAAAUGAAAAAAAAAUAUUUGGGGUUUUCGGGCUUCCUGAUGGCAAUACCCGGGAAUCAGUUUCUGGGGCUUUGGAAAGGUUUAAGGUUUUUGGCGUUAGGGUUAAAAUCACUGUCCAAAACCUUUGUAGGAACUCUUUUCCAAGCUUUUGGAGUUAGUUACACCAAAAAAAAAAGAAAAAUGAAAAAAAAAAUAUUUGGGGUGUUCGGGCUUCCUGAAGGUAAUACCCAGGUAUUAGGUUAUGGGGCUAGGGUAAGGUUUUAGGUUUUUGGCGUUAGGGUUAAAAUCAAUGUCCAAAACCUUUGGAGGAACUCUUUUCCAAGCUUUUGGAGUUAGUUAGACCAAAAAAAAGAAAAAUGAAAAAAAUAUUUGGGGUUUUCGGGCUUCCUGAUGGCAAUACCCGGGAAUCAGUUUCUGGGGCUUUGGAAAGGUUUAAGGUUUUUGGCGUUAGGGUUAAAAUCACUGUCCAAAACCUUUGUAGGAACUCUUUUCCAAGCUUUUGGAGUUAGUUACACCAAAAAAAAAUGAAAAAUGAAAAAAAAAAUAUUUGGGGUGUUCGGGCUUCCUGAAGGUAAUACCCAGGUAUUAGGUUAUGGGGCUAGGUUAAGGUUUUAGGUUUUUGGCGUUAGGGUUAAAAUCACUGUCCAAAACCUUUGUAGGAACUCUUUUCCAAGCUUUUGAGUUAGUUAGACCAAAAAAAAAUGAAAAAUGAAAUAAAAAAUAUUUGGAUUGCAAAAAUAUAUCAAGAUCCAAAGAUGGUGUGCGCACUUGUCUGUGGUCAUUUACCAUUAUAAUGAAUGGGAGGCGCAGUUUCUACCAAAACACUUGCUGCAGACAAACUUCAUGACCUAUAUGAAAAAAGUCUGGACCAUGAGUGAGGGCACAAACACAGCUAGUAUAUAUCCAAAUGGCAAGUUGCUCCUCCUUUCGGUUUUGCAGAGAGAGCGGUGUGUUUGAGCCAUUGAGCGAUGGGCAGGAAAAACUUGACUUUUUCUCCUGCCUUGGGGGGGUGCUCUUUUGGUGAGAAAAAAAUGACUUCACAAAUGUUUUGAUGGCUGAACAUUGCAUCAUCCUAGAAAACUUGGAUGAGUGGCCAAAACUUCUUUGUCUGCUGUAAAAUCAAAUUGGAUUAAUAUUUUUUCCAGAUUUUUUUUUGUACAUCUCUUAUUUUACUUCUGCCCUGUUCAAAACUAGCAAAUGUUUCAUUGAAGAUAUUUUUUUUAACCCUUUAAGAGCCUUUUAAAUUUUUCUGUAGUAUCAGAUUUAAUAGACAACUCCUUUGGCGCCACUCAGUGGCCAUAACUACUUUGUCUGCUGUUAAUAGACAACUCCCUUUGGCGCCACUAAGUGGCCAAAACAAUUUGUAAUCAUGUGGAUUUUUGGGUUAUCUUUGGCGCCCCCUAGAACGUAAACCGUGGGGUUCAGCGUCAUGAUUUGUACAACUUUGAAUGGUCAGUUAGACCAAAAAAAAAGAAAAAUGAAAAAAAAAUAUUUGGGGUUUUCAGGCCUCCUGGAGGUAAUACCCGGGUAUUAGGUUAUGGGGCUAUGGUAAGGUUUAAGGUUUUUGGCGAUAGGGUUAAACUAACUGUCCAAAACCUUUUUAGGAACAUGUUUCAUGCCUUUUGGAGUUGGUUACACCAAAAAAAAAUGUAAAAUGAAAAAAAAAUAUUUGGGGUGUUCGGGCUUCCUGAAGGUAAUACCCGGGUAUUAGGUUUUGGGGCUAUGGUAAGGGUUCAGUUUUUUGGCAUUAGGGUUAAAAUUAUUGUCCAAAACCUUUGUAGGAACUCUUUUCCAACCUUUUGGAGUUAGUUAGACCAAAAAAAAAAGAAAAAUGAAAAAAAAAUAUUUGGGGUUUUCGGGCUUCCUGAAG
Xyrichtys novacula (pearly razorfish) is the source of this 1982-nucleotide non-coding RNA. Lineage: Eukaryota; Metazoa; Chordata; Actinopteri; Labriformes; Labridae. The record is from the annotation of a GenBank genome assembly.